This 442-nucleotide ribosomal RNA is filed under the name uncultured Oscillospiraceae bacterium. RNAcentral's name for it is "bacterial SSU rRNA". It matches the Rfam family "Bacterial small subunit ribosomal RNA", at positions 338 to 798 of the family's 1533-position model. The record is from RNAcentral. Lineage: Bacteria; Bacillati; Bacillota; Clostridia; Eubacteriales; Oscillospiraceae.
CCUACGGGGGGCAGCAGUGGGGAAUAUUGCACAAUGGGGGAAACCCUGAUGCAGCGACGCCGCGUGAGUGAAGAAGUAUUUCGGUAUGUAAAGCUCUAUCAGCAGGGAAGAAAAUGACGGUACCUGACUAAGAAGCCCCGGCUAACUACGUGCCAGCAGCCGCGGUAAUACGUAGGGGGCAAGCGUUAUCCGGAUUUACUGGGUGUAAAGGGAGCGUAGACGGCCAGACAAGUCAGAAGUGAAAGCCCAGGGCUCAACCCUGGGACUGCUUUUGAAACUGCCGGGCUGGAGUGCAGGAGAGGUAAGCGGAAUUCCUAGUGUAGCGGUGAAAUGCGUAGAUAUUAGGAGGAACACCAGUGGCGAAGGCGGCUUACUGGACUGUAACUGACGUUGAGGCUCGAAAGCGUGGGGAGCAAACAGGAUUAGAUACCCGGGUAGUCAC